GAUGAAUGAUGGAGGCGUGCCUAAUACAUGCAAGUCGAGCGAACAGAUGAGGAGCUUGCUCCUCUGACGUUAGCGGCGGACGGGUGAGUAUCACGUGGAUAACCUACCUAUAAGACUGGGAUAACUUCGGGAAACCGGAGCUAAUACCGGAUAAUAUAUUGAACCGCAUGGUUCAAUAGUGAAAGACGGUUUUGCUGUCACUUAUAGAUGGAUCCGCGCCGCAUUAGCUAGUUGGUAAGGUAACGGCUUACCAAGGCAACGAUGCGUAGCCGACCUGAGAGGGUGAACGGCCACACUGGAACUGAGACACGGUCCAGACUCCUACGGGAGGCAGCAGUAGGGAAUCUUCCGCAAAGGGCGAAAGCCUGACGGAGCAACGCCGCGUGAGUGAUGAAGGUCUUCGGAUCGUAAAACUCUGUUAUUAGGGAAGAACAAAUGUGUAAGUAACUAUGCACGUCUUGACGGUACCUAAUCAGAAAGCCACGGCUAACUACGUG
This 497-nucleotide ribosomal RNA is filed under the name uncultured bacterium. RNAcentral describes it as "partial 16S ribosomal RNA". It matches the Rfam family "Bacterial small subunit ribosomal RNA", at positions 28 to 507 of the family's 1533-position model. The record is from RNAcentral.